This 746-nucleotide long non-coding RNA is filed under the name Ananas comosus (pineapple). Its description in RNAcentral is "long non-coding RNA (ACOM_LNC025382)". Lineage: Eukaryota; Viridiplantae; Streptophyta; Magnoliopsida; Poales; Bromeliaceae. The record is from RNAcentral.
UCAACCAAUCAAAUAAUUUUUUUAAAAUUUAUUUUUUUCAUCAUAAUUAUAAAAAAAAUAUUUUUAUUAUAUAUAUUUUUUUUCAAAUGAAGAGAUGUGAUAUGUUUGUUAUUGAUGAUGUGAUGCAAGUGUGACAUAGGCUUCGCGGGGAGAUUGUGUUAUAUGCGGUGAGAAACUGCAAUAAAAAAAAUCGUCGGUUUGUUUCCGUAAGUAAUAUUGCAUUCCGCAUAUCACGAUGAGUCGGUUACGAUAUAUUUUCUGCGGUCCACCGGAGAAUGCAGAACUAUAUCCUUAUAUGCUUUUUCCUCAACUCCAUUUUAUCUAAUAAUGUUAGAUAGACCUCAAUACCAAACUAAGCCAUAGUAGACUUCCUUACAGAGAAAAGGAACUACACAGCCAACAACAGAAAGUAUUACUAGUAAUGCAGCACAUGCAGUUAAAAGAGGAAGUCUACUAUACAUGUCACAUUUAUGUCAUAUCAUCAAUAAUCAGUUAAUCAUAUCUUUUUUAUAAAAAAAAGUUCAAUAAAAAUAUUAUUUUAAUAAUCAUGAUGGGAUGGGUAAACUCAUGGAAAAAUAUCUAAUUGGUUGGGAACGCCAUCUCAGCAUUGUAACUAGUACAUUUUAGAGUUUUGUAGUUAAGUGAUGCAAAGCAAUGCAAUUGACGUGAGAUUAUCUUACUCACCGUUUACAUGAUUUUGAGAUUCUAAUAAAAGGAAACUUUAUAAUUCAUUCUAGAAUUAUUUU